Molecule: ribosomal RNA, 251 nt
Filed under: uncultured prokaryote
Description: partial 16S rRNA
Rfam family: Bacterial small subunit ribosomal RNA
Source: RNAcentral
ACGAAGGUGGCAAGCGUUACUCGGAAUUACUAGGCGUAAAGCGCAGGUAGGCGGUUGUGUAAGUCUGCUGUGAAAGCUCCCGGCUUAACUGGGAGAGGGCAGCGGAUACUGCAUAGCUAGAGUGGGGGAGAGGAUACUGGAAUUCCCGGUGUAGCGGUGAAAUGCGCAGAGAUCGGGAGGAACACCUAAGGCGAAAGCAGGUACCUGGACCAUUACUGACACUAAGGUGCGAAAGCUAGGGGAGCAAACAG